GGGCCUAUAGCUCAAUUGGCAGAGCAGCGGACUUUUAAUCCGCGGGUUCAGGGUUCGAUCCCCUGUGGGCCCA
This 73-nucleotide transfer RNA is filed under the name Actinomycetes bacterium. RNAcentral describes it as "tRNA-Lys". It matches the Rfam family "tRNA". Rfam says of the family: Transfer RNA (tRNA) molecules are approximately 80 nucleotides in length. Their secondary structure includes four short double-helical elements and three loops (D, anti-codon, and T loops). Lineage: Bacteria; Bacillati; Actinomycetota; Actinomycetes. RNAcentral also lists the same sequence under 3 other names. The record is from RNAcentral.